Molecule: ribosomal RNA, 973 nt
Filed under: human gut metagenome
Description: bacterial LSU rRNA
Rfam family: Bacterial large subunit ribosomal RNA
Source: RNAcentral
CCUAAGGUAGCGAAAUUCCUUGUCGGGUAAGUUCCGACCCGCACGAAAGGCGUAAUGAUUUGGGCACUGUCUCAACAAUGCACCCGGUGAAAUUGAAAUACCAGUGAAGAUGCUGGUUACCUGCGCCAGGACGGAAAGACCCCAUGGAGCUUUACUCCAGCUUGAUACUGGGAUUCGAUAUUGUAUGUACAGGAUAGGUGGGAGGCGAAGAAGCAUUGACGCCAGUUGAUGCGGAGCCGCUGUUGGGAUACCACCCUUGCAGUAUUGGAUUUCUAACCAGCAGCCGUGACCCGGCUGGGGGACAAUGUCAGGUGGGGAGUUUGACUGGGGCGGUCGCCUCCGAAAGGGUAUCGGAGGCGCUCAAAGGUUCCCUCAGAAUGGUUGGAAACCAUUCGAAGAGUGCAAAGGCAGAAGGGAGCUUGACUGCGACACCGACGGGUGGAGCAGGUACGAAAGUAGGACUUAGUGAUCCGGUGGUAUAAAGUGGGAUUGCCAUCGCUCAACGGAUAAAAGCUACCCUGGGGAUAACAGGCUUAUCACUCCCAAGAGUUCACAUCGACGGAGUGGUUUGGCACCUCGAUGUCGGCUCAUCGCAUCCUGGGGCUGAAGUAGGUCCCAAGGGUUGGGCUGUUCGCCCAUUAAAGCGGUACGCGAGCUGGGUUCAGAACGUCGUGAGACAGUUCGGUCCCUAUCCGGCGUGGGCGUAGGAUAUUUGAGAGGAGCUGGCCUUAGUACGAGAGGACCGGGCUGGACUGACCGCUGGUGUAUCUGUUGUUCCGCCAGGAGCAUGGCAGAGUAGCCAAGUCAGGAAGGGAUAAACGCUGAAGGCAUCUAAGCGUGAAGCCCCCCUCAAGAUGAGAUAUCCCAACGCAAGUUGUAAGACCCCUUGAAGACGACAAGGUAGAUAGGGCAGAGGUGGAAGUGCAGUAAUGCAUGGAGCUGACUGUUACUAAUCGGUCGAGGGCAUAACCAA